UACGUAGGUGGCAAGCGUUGUCCGGAUUUAUUGGGUUUAAAGGGUGUGUAGGCGGUCUAUUAAGUCAGUGGUGAAAUAUCGCAGCUUAACUGUGAGGGUGCCAUUGAUACUGAUGGACUUGAGUGAAGUCGAAGUAGGCGGAAUUGACGGUGUAGCGGUGAAAUGCUUAGAUAUCGUCAAGAACACCGAUAGUGAAGACAGCUUACUAGGCUUAUACUGACGCUGAGGCACGAAAGUGUGGGGAUCAAACAGG
RNAcentral lists this ribosomal RNA (253 nucleotides) under uncultured bacterium. RNAcentral describes it as "partial 16S ribosomal RNA". It matches the Rfam family "Bacterial small subunit ribosomal RNA", at positions 524 to 776 of the family's 1533-position model. The record is from RNAcentral.